UACAAGCCGUCAGAGCCUUUUGGGUGAUGGCGUGCCUUUUGAAGAAUGAGCCUGCGAGUCAGCGGCAUGUCGCGAGGUUAACCCGUGUGGGGUAGCCGUAGGGAAACCGAAUCCUAAUGAGGGUGUUUGUAGUGGCAUGUUCUGGACCCGAAGCGGGGUGAUCUACCCAUGGCCAGUGUGAAGCGAUGGUAAGACGUCGUGGAGGCGCGAACCCACGUAGGUUAAAAACUGCGGGGAUGAGUUGUGGGUAGGGGUGAAAGGCUAAUCAAACUGGGAAAUAGCUCGUACUCCCCGAAAUGUUUUUAGGAACAGC
This 313-nucleotide ribosomal RNA is filed under the name Anophryoides haemophila. RNAcentral describes it as "partial Bacterial large subunit ribosomal RNA". It matches the Rfam family "Bacterial large subunit ribosomal RNA", at positions 565 to 880 of the family's 2925-position model. Lineage: Eukaryota; Ciliophora; Oligohymenophorea; Philasterida; Glauconematidae. The record is from RNAcentral.